Molecule: non-coding RNA, 43 nt
Filed under: Schistosoma mattheei
Lineage: Eukaryota; Metazoa; Platyhelminthes; Trematoda; Strigeidida; Schistosomatidae
Source: RNAcentral
UUCACUGACGAGUCCCAAAUAGGACGAAACGUAUGUCCAAGAC